Molecule: unclassified non-coding RNA, 251 nt
Filed under: Hevea brasiliensis (rubber tree)
Lineage: Eukaryota; Viridiplantae; Streptophyta; Magnoliopsida; Malpighiales; Euphorbiaceae
Source: RNAcentral
UUGAAAUCGAAUACUAUUACUUCCGUAUGCUUGAGUUCAUGUAUAACACUAUUGUUUUGUAUUGUGAUUACUUUGCGAGGUACUUAUGAUGGUGCGACCAUAAGGCAAAGCCACAAGAAUGAAUUAGAGACGGCCCAAUGAUAUUCAUGCGGAGGCGUGUUAAGCACAAUACAGAGAAAUGAAGCAUCGGAAGAAUCAUCACGACAUGAGAUAUAAAGAAUUAAGUGGGGGAGUAUGCAGAUGAUUGAACA